GUCAUUUCUGCGAUUGGACUUGGGGAAUAAGAAUCACUGUAAAGGAGAGAUUUUACAAGAAAAUAUCGAAGUCCACAUCUAAUAUUUAUUUUAUUAAAUUUAAAAUUAAUUUUUAAGAUCUCAAUAUUUUUUUAGAUUUUAUUUGGCAUCAUUUUCAUUUAAAAAAAUCAAAAAUUUAUUUUUUAGUUCUGUUUUUCAAAAUUAUGCAUACAUUCUAUAUAGAUAAUUAUUUUUAAAACUUAAAUAUCAAUGGUGAUGGAUACAAUGAAUAGUUGCAACAGUCGUAGUAAUGGUGAUGGUGGUGUCGAUAAUAACUAGUGUUGGAAUAAAACUGACCUAUCUGAUGAUAUGUUCGACCUUUGAAGAUAUAGCAGACAUAUGACAUUAUGAUGCGAAUAAUUAGACGUAUGUGCACUGCGUAGCAAUGGUGUUAUCGACAGAUGACCGACCACAUGUGGUUGGAUCUUGGACGAAGUCAACCUCAUUGAUAGUUGGAAGAAGUCAAAAUCAUCGGCUUUUAGCCGAUCGGACCUUAUCGUCGCCCCG
This 546-nucleotide long non-coding RNA is filed under the name Elaeis guineensis (African oil palm). RNAcentral describes it as "long non-coding RNA (EGUI_LNC001514)". Lineage: Eukaryota; Viridiplantae; Streptophyta; Magnoliopsida; Arecales; Arecaceae. The record is from RNAcentral.